RNAcentral lists this ribosomal RNA (253 nucleotides) under uncultured bacterium. RNAcentral describes it as "partial 16S ribosomal RNA". It matches the Rfam family "Bacterial small subunit ribosomal RNA", at positions 524 to 776 of the family's 1533-position model. The record is from RNAcentral.
UACGGAGGAUCCAAGCGUUAUCCGGAUUUAUUGGGUUUAAAGGGUGCGUAGGCGGUCGGAUAAGUUAGAGGUGAAAUCCCGAGGCUCAACUUCGGAAUUGCCUCUGAUACUGUUCGGCUAGAGAGUAGUUGCGGUAGGCGGAAUGUAUGGUGUAGCGGUGAAAUGCUUAGAGAUCAUACAGAACACCGAUUGCGAAGGCAGCUUACCAAGCUACUUCUGACGUUGAGGCACGAGAGCGUGGGGAGCAAACAGG